Molecule: long non-coding RNA, 1346 nt
Organism: Poecilia latipinna (sailfin molly)
Lineage: Eukaryota; Metazoa; Chordata; Actinopteri; Cyprinodontiformes; Poeciliidae
Exons: 2
Source: RefSeq, a predicted model, not a curated record
GUUAGUUUUGUCUUAUUUAAAGUGAUCUAAGAUGUUUGUUUAGAAACUAGACCAAUAUUACUUGGUAAGGUUUUGUGAUUUUGAAGUGUGGGUAAAAGUAAACCUCUGUUCAUGCUCUAUAGAUUAUAAAACCUUCACAAGGACUUUCCCACUCGUAAAUCACACCACUGAUUUAGGUUUUCAGAUGGAACUCUUAUAUUUUCACUAUCUUUAUCCUUGGAUUACAUUGAGGCUACUCAGUUUCUCCCCCCGCCCCUUCCCUUCCACCAACUAAUUUUCUCUAAACCUUUCAGUAAACACAUUUUAGACCAGUCGUCUUAUUUACAAGCACAUGUCUGAAAAUUAUCUUUCCAGCAUAUCUAUGGUUUUCUUUGCAUUUCAAGUAAACAAACAAAAAAAUAAUAAUCAAAGCUUCAAGUUGUCCUCACUGGUCCAAUAAUUCACAUUCAGUGGUUUACAAGAAAUACUAUAAUAAUAAUAAAGUAAUUGAUAUAUGCUUCUGUGCAACAAAGUCUUUAAUGCUGUGGCAAAGAUGGCGCCUCGCACCACAAAUAAAUGAUGUAAUUUAAAAAGCCUGGUGAAAAUAUCGUAUGUCUGGAGAAAACACUGAAACACAAACUUUAUGAUGCUCAUGUUCUGUGGCAUCCGUAAUACGCCGUCGUUGUUCUGAGUAUAAAAAUAAUGAAACGGAUUCAUAAACCACAAAGCUGAGUGGCUUUGUUCAGUGUCAGUCAUGCUAGCUCUAGCUAAGCUAAUGAACGUGAAUCUCAGCAGCCCAUCCAAAUUCAGUGUGAGAUGCUUCGCUGCAUGCCGUUGAUGCCUACGUUUUCUUUGAUCUGUCCUUUUCUUUUUUCUUUUUCUCUCUUUUUUUUUUACUGUUUUCUAUCAUCAGCAUGUGUGACUAAAACAAUCUGGUUCAUCUCUGUUGCUUGUUUACAUGUAGACGAUUUCUGCCGUGUCAUCCGGUCUUGUCACUCCGACGCGCUCCUGUUCACUCUGCACAUUGCGACACGUUGCUGAGUGUGAAAACCUACUGUGAUUUAAACGUAUGGUGUGGAGCAGUUUGGAAAUGGAUGGUGAAUUGAAAGUACAUCCCUGCUCCCCCCGACUUCCAUAUAAUCCACAUAAUCACAGAGCUGCUGCUGUUUGCCUCUGAUAGGACUGAAUUAUCACCAGAUCCAGGAACGUCACAUGGUCUUCACCUUUAAUUCCAUUCUCCAUCUCUUGUGGUCGAGCGUGGAAGUCGAAGGGAAGGCGCUCUGUUUGGAAGUAGACAAAUUCCCUGUUAAUGUAAAACGAGUCCUGUGACGAUUAUUGAGAACAUAAUAAAAUGAUGCACUAUAAGA